RNAcentral lists this transfer RNA (85 nucleotides) under Pterocladiophila hemisphaerica. RNAcentral describes it as "tRNA-Ser". It matches the Rfam family "tRNA". From Rfam's summary of the family: Transfer RNA (tRNA) molecules are approximately 80 nucleotides in length. The record is from RNAcentral. Lineage: Eukaryota; Rhodophyta; Florideophyceae; Gracilariales; Pterocladiophilaceae.
GGAUAAAUGACUGAGAGGUUGAAAGUACUAAUUUUGAAAAUUAGAAUAAGUUAUCUUAUCGUAGGUUCAAAUCCUACUUUAUCCA